GUUCGGCGCUCUCUGUGACGAUUGUUCGCGAUUCAUUGCGCUCGAGCGCGAAUGUGUGACAAAUAGUUCGACAUGAAACAAAUGGACUAGGUCGAUACGGUGAAAAACGGUAUGCACAAUAGUCAGCGUAGAACAAAGAAGAAGAGCAAGAAACAUAAGAAAGCAAUAGGUAUAAUAUAUUUUUAAAAUAAUCAUGCUUUUUUAAUAAAUAAAACUAACUAAAAAGGAAUA
Molecule: unclassified non-coding RNA, 231 nt
Filed under: Melitaea cinxia (Glanville fritillary)
Lineage: Eukaryota; Metazoa; Arthropoda; Insecta; Lepidoptera; Nymphalidae
Description: misc RNA ENSMCXG00005014406.1
Source: RNAcentral